RNAcentral lists this long non-coding RNA (211 nucleotides) under Elaeis guineensis (African oil palm). RNAcentral's name for it is "long non-coding RNA (EGUI_LNC042505)". The record is from RNAcentral. Lineage: Eukaryota; Viridiplantae; Streptophyta; Magnoliopsida; Arecales; Arecaceae.
CUGUUUUCAAUAUGUUCAGCAGCUCUGGCAGACUGAUGUUCAAUUUAUUCAUAUGAUAAUUUAUAACAAACUGAGAAAAAGAGUCAAGAAGAGACUGCAUGAUCAAAUUCUAGCUCAGUUCAUCGUCCAUAGCAAAACCCAGCUGUCCCAGAUGAGUGAUCAAAUCAAUAUCUUCAGAAAAUGCAUUUACACGGAGGUGCCUUUAGUCAUG